UUUUAUAUAUAUUAUAAAAAAUUAUUAAUUUGGAGACAAUUUAAAUAGUUAAAAUAAUAAAAUUUGAUUGGUAAACACGACAGUGUUUGGUUAGGGGAUAGGAAUAGGAAUAGAUACUUAUCCUCCUUUAUAUCCAAACGCUAAAUUUUUACCUGAGAAUAGUACUUCUCGGUUAUCCCCACCAACACCUCCAUUUUUUAUACAAAAUUAUGUAAAAUUGUUCUUAUCUUCAAGAACAACUCAAUUUUCAUCCAAACAUUAUUUUUUUUAUCCCUAUAUUUGUAUCAUUUUUGUAAUAGCUAAUUUUUAUUUAUACCCGAACUAAACGGUAUCUAGUUAUCAUCAAAAAUAUUUAAUGACAAGUACGAAUUUUGAAAACUAAUAUAAUAUUUGUGUUUCGAUACGAAACGUGAGAUCGAAGGACGUAAAUACCUUAAUACAAUAUGUGAGCUGUAUCGAUCGUAUCUAUUUCACCCUCGCAUUUAUUAAUCCUAUCAUCACUUUUGUGCACCCCUACAAAGGGAAUUAGUAUUGUAGCCCAUCCACUACAUAUACCUGCUACUAUAUAUAUAUAUAUAUAUAUAUAUAGAAUUUAGCUUCUAUGCUUUUAAAAGUACCAAGUCAAUUGUGCUUGUAAAUUUUUAGCUUUUGGAUUAAUAGAUGUGUGGGUAGGAUGAUGUCGGCCCUUUUGGGUUGAGUGGGUGGUUGGUUGAAUAGUAUAAUUUAACGGAUGAAAAUGAUCAAAGACGUAGAUCUAACGGUAAAAAAUUCACAAGCACCAAGUGCUUGGUACUUUUACAAGCACCAUAGCCGGACUCUAUAUAUAUAUAUAUAUAUUAUGAUAUUUUAAAAAUAUAUGUAAAAGAAUUUAGGAUUCAAGGUUCAAAAUUUUU
RNAcentral lists this long non-coding RNA (893 nucleotides) under Ananas comosus (pineapple). Its description in RNAcentral is "long non-coding RNA (ACOM_LNC020851)". Lineage: Eukaryota; Viridiplantae; Streptophyta; Magnoliopsida; Poales; Bromeliaceae. The record is from RNAcentral.